Molecule: transfer RNA, 68 nt
Filed under: Chondracris rosea
Lineage: Eukaryota; Metazoa; Arthropoda; Insecta; Orthoptera; Acrididae
Description: tRNA-Gly
Rfam family: tRNA
About the family: Transfer RNA (tRNA) molecules are approximately 80 nucleotides in length. Their secondary structure includes four short double-helical elements and three loops (D, anti-codon, and T loops).
Source: RNAcentral
GUUUUUCUAGUAUAAUUAGUACAUUUGACUUCCAAUCAAAAAGAUUGAUAAUUAAAUCAAGAAAAACA